GAAAUCAUAGUUUGAGACAUUAUUUAAAUUCUAACACGCUAUCAAGGAUUUUUAUGUACACCCUUGCCGCUAUUCGCCAAAGGUUUUCCCGCUCUGUGUGGUUUUCAUUUGCUAAGCGCCGCUGUUACGUUUGACACUUCGACGUAAUGAUUGUGACGUACAAAUUGUAAUUUUGUUAUAUGUGACGUCGUCUUUGAAAACCGGUCCAGAUGCUGCAUGACGUAAUAUCGAGAAACGACGUUUAAAGUUGCGCCAAGUUUACGCGCGCAGCUUUCUUACACAUGUUUUAAUUAGCAAAAGUUUGACCGUUAAAGUACGACUGCUUGUUACAUGAUUGGAAACAGCCUACUACAGAAAGAAUAUUUAGACAUCAGACCUGUAAAAAAGUAGUGGUAUUACGCCUGAGGCAAAAUAUUUCGUUCAAAAGCAGUUGUUUCCCCUUCGCUAUGUUUCCGGUUUCGGAUUUUAUCAGGGAAGCAUGUGAAGUUUACUUUUGUUUAACUACCUUUUGUUCAACGAUGAACGGAUCUGAGACUUGUUAUACUGUUUACUGAUUAGAUAAUAUUCCUUGUUCCUUUGAUGGUUCAUUCCACUAUACAACUGGUUCAUAUACCCUACAACAGCCAGGAAAUUGGUCUGUUUACUUUAAGAUCCCAAGAAAAUGUAACAUAUUUUGGAUGUGCUUUGAGGAAUCAGUUAAGUAACAUGCAGCUAAUGGCUCUUAUCAAAAUUUUAAUGCAAUAUAUUAUUUAUUUAUACCUCUGUCUAGGUUUUGUUGGAGCCAAUUCAAAAUAAGUCUACUUCUACACUAAUGAUUUGUACAAUGUAUGUACAUGUACUAUGACUAUUAAAUGGCUUAAACUGACAAAACUGGCAUUAUUGAAAUUUAAUUUCAACAAUCUGGUUUUGAGGCGGCAAAAGGGAGGAUCAGUUUGUGUAAAGUCUUCAUUACAUUGGCUAUUAGCCUGAGAAAAGUAUGUGGCACUCAAUAAGUACUUGGAUAAUUUGAAUGCUUAACACAACAUGUACAUGUGUAUAAGUUGAUAUCUCAUUAACUUGUAGAAUAUAGUUCUAAAUAAUAGGAAUUUUAAUUAAGUAUUCGAAGUAAAUCAAUUAAUUGUAAUUUAGUUUAAUUGAAAUGUGAUUAUUUUCAAAUUUAAUUAAUCCAUUCUCGACUAAUACAUUGUGAUGUGAUUGAAUUUUUUUACCAGUUUUAUUGCACCAAGAAUAUAGAUUAGAAUGAAGACUGUAAAGGUUCCUGAGAUACCUGAAGAUAACAGAUACUUUUACCAAAGACUUUUAAAUCUUUUUUCAGGAAGGCAAGUGUUUCCUCUUGUUUAUGAAGCAACUCAGUUGGUUAAGGGGCAGACAACUUGUGAGCAUGGUACAUCACUACCUGUAUUGAUAUUCCAAUGCUGCUAGCUAGAAUAGAAAUAACAUCUUGCUGUGGUACGGUCUGUGGAGACUUUUACUAGGAUAUCACAGAUCGAUUGAAUAUUCAACAAUGAUCACAGACCAUGCAAAGUUUGAAUCUGACUUGCACUUUUGAAUUUAGAAGAACAUGUGGAGGAGGGUGAAUGCUGAGACCUUUAAUAAUACAUGAUAUUGCUGACACAGUGUGUCAGUCAUCAAAGAAAGGUCAUAACACUGCACAGUUGGUCAACAGUGGUUUAAAUCCAGUCACAUUCUGCCAGUGGAGAAAUAUCUUAUCACAAUAUUUUAAACUUUUGAAGAAGAUAACCAAGUAUUACCACUUUAUCAUGUCUGCAGAAACACCUGGAUUGUUAGUGUUAAAAGUGACAGUCCAGUUAACUUACUAAAAUCUACUCCCCCUUGCCAAAUGAAUAUUAUUGACAUGGAAUGAUACAAGCCUGACAAUGGUACCUGUAUGAACUCAUAAGAGAAUAGUAUUUGUCUGAAAAGUCAAAGGAUUCUGUUUGUCCCAAACCACU
Long non-coding RNA from Mercenaria mercenaria, 1952 nucleotides. RefSeq lists it as uncharacterized. NCBI's taxonomy places the organism in Eukaryota, Metazoa, Mollusca, Bivalvia, Venerida, Veneridae. The record is from RefSeq and is a predicted model, not a curated record. The transcript is spliced from 3 exons.